UACAGAGGUCUCAAGCGUUGUUCGGAUUCAUUGGGCGUAAAGGGUGCGUAGGUGGCGCGCUAAGUCAGGUGUGAAAUUUCGGAGCUUAACUCCGAAACUGCAUUCGAUACUGCCGUGCUUGAGGACUGGAGAGGAGACUGGAAUUUACGGUGUAGCGGUGAAAUGCGUAGAUAUCGUAAGGAAGACCAGUGGCGAAGGCGGGUCUCUGGACAGUUCCUGACGCUGAGGAACGAAGGUCAGGGGAGCAAACGGG
RNAcentral lists this ribosomal RNA (253 nucleotides) under uncultured bacterium. RNAcentral's name for it is "partial 16S ribosomal RNA". It matches the Rfam family "Bacterial small subunit ribosomal RNA", at positions 524 to 776 of the family's 1533-position model. The record is from RNAcentral.